AAGGCCCUUUUAUCAACUGCAGCUUCUAACUGUUAUUGAGCAAAUAGUUUUGCUGGGGUUUU
Molecule: transfer RNA, 62 nt
Filed under: Aleurocanthus camelliae (camellia spiny whitefly)
Lineage: Eukaryota; Metazoa; Arthropoda; Insecta; Hemiptera; Aleyrodidae
Description: tRNA-Ser
Source: RNAcentral